RNAcentral lists this ribosomal RNA (322 nucleotides) under Alcaligenes sp. Swo. RNAcentral describes it as "bacterial SSU rRNA". It matches the Rfam family "Bacterial small subunit ribosomal RNA", at positions 1083 to 1411 of the family's 1533-position model. Lineage: Bacteria; Pseudomonadati; Pseudomonadota; Betaproteobacteria; Burkholderiales; Alcaligenaceae. The record is from RNAcentral.
AGUCCCGCAACGAGCGCAACCCUUGUCAUUAGUUGCUACGAAAGGGCACUCUAAUGAGACUGCCGGUGACAAACCGGAGGAAGGUGGGGAUGACGUCAAGUCCUCAUGGCCCUUAUGGGUAGGGCUUCACACGUCAUACAAUGGUCGGGACAAAGGGUCGCCAACCCGCGAGGGGGAGCCAAUCCCAGAAACCCGAUCGUAGUCCGGAUCGCAGUCUGCAACUCGACUGCGUGAAGUCGGAAUCGCUAGUAAUCGCGGAUCAGCAUGUCGCGGUGAAUACGUUCCCGGGUCUUGUACACACCGCCCGUCACACCAUGGGAGU